RNAcentral lists this long non-coding RNA (1253 nucleotides) under Strigops habroptila (Kakapo). RNAcentral's name for it is "lncRNA (ENSSHBG00005020807.1)". Lineage: Eukaryota; Metazoa; Chordata; Aves; Psittaciformes; Psittacidae. The record is from RNAcentral.
GGUAACCUGGGAUGUAAUUAAUACUGAAUUUCCAUUUGGCGUUUACUGUACUAAACAUGUUCCGUAGGUCUGUGAGGAAAAUAUCAAUUUUAGAUUUAAAUAAUAUUAACUAAGAGAAAUUUCAGUUCAUGUUUUCAUCAAAUAUAUUUCCCUUUCUUUGUCUUCGAACAGAAACUAGAAGUAGACUUAAUGCUGGAUUUUCUCCAUUUUAAGCCUGGUACUCAAAGGUAUUAAAUUAUUUUUCUCUUCUACUGAGGAGCCAGAUGUACCAAUAUCUUUAAUAGGACUAAGCCUCAUUUUUUUCAUGUUUUACCUAAACUUUAUCGAACUUUGAACAAGGAAAGAACAUCAUGAUUUAGAAGUGAGGGCUUAGUUCUUUGACACAGAUUGCAUCCCCACCUCCACUGCGUUUAAUCUUGAGCCUUGAAACCUGACAAAGAGAUGGUAUCAAAGCACAUAAAUUGCCACAGUGUGUAUUAUAUGACUGCGCACUCAUUGGACAAUAAAUUUGGAAGAAUUUGCUCUCACAUUUAAAUGCAAUCUAAAUAAAUAUAUCCUUACACAAUUCCUACCUAGACAUAUAGAAGUAAUUACUUGCACAUAAUCCGUGUGAGCCUUGAAAAGUACUGCAAGACAAUGCAGUGGAGAUACAACAACCUAUGGAGAUAAAUUUGCUUACAGAUACAUAAGCAAUACUUGCAUACAUACUUGCAAACAUAGCCCAGACAACACUAAUGUAACUAAACAAUUGGCCUCUACAAGCUUGAUCUGCUCAGUAGCUUAACCUAAAGGAGCCAGCUCCCAGUUUGCUCAUUUCUUGAAGGAAUUGUGCAGGUUCUGCAUGACUCCUGUUUUUCCAAUCUUGGAUAUGAAUUUUGCUAGCUUUGAAAACGUUUUAGGGCUUACACAGAAAUAUGUAAAAUGUCAGCUUGAAAAUUUUAAUUGACUUAUUAGCAAUAUCUCUUCUUUGAAUGACCUUUUAGUCCUCCUUUUAACGUAUCACCUACUUUUACUACCUUCUGGCUGACAGUUUUUAAUAUAUUCCUUCCUAGUGGAUGAUAUCAUCUGUCCUUGGAUGGAAUUAACUAAAGCACUACACAUUUAAAAGCUGACAUUAAUCCAUAUCCACAGAUUUUUAACAGCUGCUGGGAUAAAUAUUGUGUUUCCAUGCAUUAGGCUUUAUAUAACAAUGACUAGUAGAAAUAAAUUGAGAUUAAAUAUACACUGGCAACAUCAAAGCCAAGGAGAAAAAA